ACUGUAUAACAGUUGUAAAUUUUUGUAGAUUCAAAUCUAGUGUUUGAUUUGAUAUAUUUGAAUUUAAUUGCCGUAAUUGAACUGCAUAAGGAGGUCUAAAUACAGUUGGGACUACGUCUAAAUUGGUCCCAGUUUUAACUGCAGCAGUUGAAGCAAGUAAUUUUAAACAAAAGAUAAAGUUAACUCCCUAAUCACUUUUAAAAUAAAAAAUUCUUUUUUCUCAUUAGAGGUAAUCUUAUCAUUAUCUAUAAAAAGUGGUAAAAUUUUGAAAAUAAUGUACGCAAUUAAACAAAUUAUUUAUAUUUGCGGCAUUUUCUCUUGCAUCCAACUAAAUAAGAUGAGUACAAUUAGAACUAUUGUAUUUUCAAUUGCAUAUAUUUUUAACUACACUGUAUUUUCAAUUACGCAUGGUUUCGUUAGAAUUGAUUGUUUUGAUGUAAUGCUAAUGGAGAGUU
This 455-nucleotide long non-coding RNA is filed under the name Ananas comosus (pineapple). RNAcentral's name for it is "long non-coding RNA (ACOM_LNC028440)". Lineage: Eukaryota; Viridiplantae; Streptophyta; Magnoliopsida; Poales; Bromeliaceae. The record is from RNAcentral.